RNAcentral lists this long non-coding RNA (1767 nucleotides) under Rattus norvegicus (Norway rat). Its description in RNAcentral is "long non-coding RNA NONRATT000175". The record is from RNAcentral. Lineage: Eukaryota; Metazoa; Chordata; Mammalia; Rodentia; Muridae.
GGAAGUCGAGUGCCACUGCCUUCCAUCCCGCUCCUCAGAGUCACCCCACACAGAACUUCUGUGUUUACCUGGUAAAGGUAGCCGUCCUCCCUGCCUGUCUUGGCAAAUCAGAGGCCCAGCUGGGGUAGAUCACUCUCCAGGCAACACCAUGUUCCCCUCAUCUAUGCAGCGACUUCGAUUUCCACUCUGAGCUGCAGGUUUCUGUCUCUGUGGGCCGGGACUCCAGGGAUGCCAGAGGCUCUGCAGUCUACCCGUCUUUUAAACUUCAACAUACUUUAACAUGAAUUCCAUGUAUAUUUUUUUUAAAAAAAACAAACUUGUAAAUAUGAAUGUUGGAAUGGAACUGUCAUCGCAAGGGUAACGGGUUUACAUGGUUUUUACACUUGCUGUGCUCACUGAGAAGAUACCGGAAGGGUGUGUUAUCGACUCUUCCCUUGCAGUGGACCACUGCAGCUGCCAUUUCAUGGACACUGACUUGUGCUGAUCCCAAGAUGCUCUAAUGUGUGAGAGUUUACACGUCUUCAUCAUAAGUUUCCAUGGUUUAGAACGCUAUUAUUUAUCAGCCAAUGUAAGAUAUUCUAAGCAAAUGUCAGAACUUUUAAAAACUGCCCUGUAGUAGAAUUAUAAACUGAUCCUACUGUCUGUAAAACUAAGGGAAUUUUUUUUCUGUUGACAUAGGAAUUACAGAGAAGCACUCCCUAGUGUCGCGUCCAUCGUGUAUUAUAUACCCUGUAAAGCGUGGCUUACAGAACUAAGACUUCAGUGUGCAGGUGAAGCUCAGGGGUUAGGUUAAAUCACUACACUCUGCCGGGACUUUUGAUAGUAACCACAAGACUGUUUUGUUCUGAGGGGAUUAAAAUUUCAUAAACUUGUUAUAAAAUCAAAGGGCUGACUAGUUCUUUCAGGGUAAUGGUUUGAAUCAUACUGUCUCUGGGGUAUUUUUAUAUUAGUCCAAUCCAGGGGAACCUGGAAGAUGACGGCUCCCAGAUUCCCCCGUGAGAGCGUCACUGUCCCUGUGGAUAGUGAGCCUGCUUGGUUUACUGUCAUGGCAGCAGUAGGUUGGUGCCUUCAAGCCCCAUCUGAAAGGCUAGAGAAGAGUACGUAAACUUACAUCUGAGGCUCGUGAGGCAAGUGAGGCAGUGAGGCCGUCUCCGCACAGUUAGGCUGAAGUAGGUUUAGGUGUGCAAAGUCAACCUGCAGAGGGGUAGUUUAUAAAACGUCUCACCACCCCCAAGUGCUGAACCAUCGAAGGUGCAGUUGGGAUAAACAGGUACAAACAUGGUUGCUAUCUUUGUAGGGAAAACCCAAGCACCCACCAGAGAACUAAGGCCCUCCACGAGGGACAGACCUGAGACUAGGUGUGUAUUUGUAUACUUGCCUUAGUGUUAGAUUUGGGGGUGAGGGGGCAGCUGUUUUUUUUGUUUUGUUUUGUUUUGUUUUGUUUUGUUUUGUUUCUGGCCAAAGGAAAAUUGGUUUCGCCAGUCACCUCGCUGAACAUUUACCUUGGUGGUUUGGGUGCUGCUAGGUGCUACCAUUCUGACAUAUCCUGUGACACAGAACAGGUGAAUGCCAUUGUAUGACACAGGGAUUGUCUGCGUCUGAGAACUACCUUUUUACAAAUGUCUGUAAAUAUCUGCCAAACGAAGACACUAGCCUCUGCGCCCGGAGGACACUGGACGUCAGUGGGGCAGUGCUGCCUGGGCAGUCACGGGGUAAAUGCUUAUUUAUGAAAAACUCAAUAAAACUCACAUUUUGGGAUUUUGUACU